ACAGAGUUCAUCCUACGUCUACGGCGAAAUCGCUCAAAAUAUGUCGGUCACUGUGAGUCACCGACAUCAUUGAAAGUAUUUGAUUUCGGUUUAUUUCUUUUUCUCGCCACUGCUCGGAUCUCUCCACUUCCCAAAAUUGUGUUCGUUAUAUGCUACGUGCCAAAGGCGACAAUCUUGAACCAUUUGAUUCGGAGAUAGAACGUACCUUCAGACGAAGACGCAAAAAAUACAAACAAAAACAGCAACAUCAAAUGGCUGACAAUCAACAAAUCCCUAUACCUAUUCAGCCGAUUAGACAAAUGACUGCAAGAGUGGUAGCACCAACGGAACAGCAGUAUGAGAGAGGAAAUAAAUGAAGUAAUAUAUGCACAAGGCCUUUGAUGCUUCCCGGGCAGGAGUUUGUUGUGCUCUUGUUGGGUAAUGACUAAUCUUUAUUAUUCUCCUUUUUGUUUCUUUUUUGUUUAUUGGUCUUUGGACAUAAUUAAUUAGUGGGGAAAUAUCAAGCCACGAUUCAAAUGAAUAACAGAAUCUUUUUUCCUAAAUAACAGAAAGUUACUAUUUCUUGUCUUGCUUAUUUAAACAAAUUGCUAUCUAUCAUUCUUAUAAAUUUUAUGGUCUCGUUAUUUUUACAAAUGGACCUCUUGAUUAUGAUAGUGACUAAAGAAUAUUAAUUCCCAUUGCCACCAUUUAUCUAGUCUAGUUUCUCUACAAAUUGAUCUAUGAUGUCUUGUGGCUAACCUUCGGCUAUGGUUUUGAGUCACAUUGCCAUGGUUUUUAUUUUUCUUUUUAGUUGCCGUUAGUUAAAUAAUGUAGAUGCAUAUUCUUCCAUUACUUGAAAUUGGAUUGGUUCAUGAAGUCCAAGAAGCUGCACAAGUAGCCAUGACUUGGGUAUGUCCAGUUUGCUCUUUUAGCAGUUUUUUUUGUCUUAUUUUACUGGUUUUGUUGUUUACUUGUAAAUUAUGGACAAGAACCAUAAUAAAGAGGAUCUUAUUCAUAAAUUACAAUAGCCAUAUACACUAGGCCAAGUGAAAUGAAAUUGAUGUUUGUCACUUGGCAUUUAUUUUUAAAAAGUACACCAUGAUCAAUUAAUUUUUCUCUUUAUUUUUGGUUCCAGGACUACUCAGUUUCACAGACUAAAAUAAAGCAUAUGGCAUGCAGCAAUCCGAUAUCCGCUGACCAUGUUACAAGCUACAAAUUUGGUCCAAAUGCUUGCUUGCCAACAGGAGAUCACCAUGAUUAUGGGAUGUCUUCAAUAUGUGUCGAAUAUUUUUUAUUAUUUUAGUAAGUUGUUUUUGGAGCAGUAAUCGAUACUUUUGGUAUAUUGAUAUCGAAUUUUUGACUAGCUAAUAAUGUUCUUAGUAAUCAUUUAGAUUAACUCUACAUUUUGGUAUAUUGUAUUUGAUAGCACUUAAUACUUUUAUUCAUUGAAAUUAUGGAA
Molecule: long non-coding RNA, 1438 nt
Organism: Olea europaea var. sylvestris
Lineage: Eukaryota; Viridiplantae; Streptophyta; Magnoliopsida; Lamiales; Oleaceae
Exons: 3
Source: RefSeq, a predicted model, not a curated record